This 2904-nucleotide ribosomal RNA is filed under the name Escherichia coli. RNAcentral describes it as "bacterial LSU rRNA". It matches the Rfam family "Bacterial large subunit ribosomal RNA". Lineage: Bacteria; Pseudomonadati; Pseudomonadota; Gammaproteobacteria; Enterobacterales; Enterobacteriaceae. The record is from RNAcentral.
UUAAGCGACUAAGCGUACACGGUGGAUGCCCUGGCAGUCAGAGGCGAUGAAGGAGGUGCUAAUCUGCGAUAAGCGUCGGUAAGGUGAUAUGAACCGUUAUAACCGGCGAUUUCCGAAUGGGGAAACCCAGUGUGAUUCGUCACACUAUCAUUAACUGAAUCCAUAGGUUAAUGAGGCGAACCGGGGGAACUGAAACAUCUAAGUACCCCGAGGAAAAGAAAUCAACCGAGAUUCCCCCAGUAGCGGCGAGCGAACGGGGAGCAGCCCAGAGCCUGAAUCAGUAUGUGUGUUAGUGGAAGCGUCUGGAAAGGCGCGCGAUACAGGGUGACAGCCCCGUACACAAAAAUGCACAUGCUGUGAGCUCGAUGAGUAGGGCGGGACACGUGGUAUCCUGUCUGAAUAUGGGGGGACCAUCCUCCAAGGCUAAAUACUCCUGACUGACCGAUAGUGAACCAGUACCGUGAGGGAAAGGCGAAAAGAACCCCGGCGAGGGGAGUGAAAAAGAACCUGAAACCGUGUACGUACAAGCAGUGGGAGCACAGAGCAAUCUGUGUGACUGCGUACCUUUUGUAUAAUGGGUCAGCGACUUAUAUUCUGUAGCAAGGUUAACCGAAUAGGGGAGCCGAAGGGAAACCGAGUCUUAACUGGGCGUUAAGUUGCAGGGUAUAGACCCGAAACCCGGUGAUCUAGCCAUGGGCAGGUUGAAGGUUGGGUAACACUAACUGGAGGACCGAACCGACUAAUGUUGAAAAAUUAGCGGAUGACUUGUGGCUGGGGGUGAAAGGCCAAUCAAACCGGGAGAUAGCUGGUUCUCCCCGAAAGCUAUUUAGGUAGCGCCUCGUGAAUUCAUCUCCGGGGGUAGAGCACUGUUUCGGCAAGGGGGUCAUCCCGACUUACCAACCCGAUGCAAACUGCGAAUACCGGAGAAUGUUAUCACGGGAGACACACGGCGGGUGCUAACGUCCGUCGUGAAGAGGGAAACAACCCAGACCGCCAGCUAAGGUCCCAAAGUCAUGGUUAAGUGGGAAACGAUGUGGGAAGGCCCAGACAGCCAGGAUGUUGGCUUAGAAGCAGCCAUCAUUUAAAGAAAGCGUAAUAGCUCACUGGUCGAGUCGGCCUGCGCGGAAGAUGUAACGGGGCUAAACCAUGCACCGAAGCUGCGGCAGCGACGCUUAUGCGUUGUUGGGUAGGGGAGCGUUCUGUAAGCCUGUGAAGGUGUGCUGUGAGGCAUGCUGGAGGUAUCAGAAGUGCGAAUGCUGACAUAAGUAACGAUAAAGCGGGUGAAAAGCCCGCUCGCCGGAAGACCAAGGGUUCCUGUCCAACGUUAAUCGGGGCAGGGUGAGUCGACCCCUAAGGCGAGGCCGAAAGGCGUAGUCGAUGGGAAACAGGUUAAUAUUCCUGUACUUGGUGUUACUGCGAAGGGGGGACGGAGAAGGCUAUGUUGGCCGGGCGACGGUUGUCCCGGUUUAAGCGUGUAGGCUGGUUUUCCAGGCAAAUCCGGAAAAUCAAGGCUGAGGCGUGAUGACGAGGCACUACGGUGCUGAAGCAACAAAUGCCCUGCUUCCAGGAAAAGCCUCUAAGCAUCAGGUAACAUCAAAUCGUACCCCAAACCGACACAGGUGGUCAGGUAGAGAAUACCAAGGCGCUUGAGAGAACUCGGGUGAAGGAACUAGGCAAAAUGGUGCCGUAACUUCGGGAGAAGGCACGCUGAUAUGUAGGUGAAGUCCCUCGCGGAUGGAGCUGAAAUCAGUCGAAGAUACCAGCUGGCUGCAACUGUUUAUUAAAAACACAGCACUGUGCAAACACGAAAGUGGACGUAUACGGUGUGACGCCUGCCCGGUGCCGGAAGGUUAAUUGAUGGGGUCAGCGCAAGCGAAGCUCUUGAUCGAAGCCCCGGUAAACGGCGGCCGUAACUAUAACGGUCCUAAGGUAGCGAAAUUCCUUGUCGGGUAAGUUCCGACCUGCACGAAUGGCGUAAUGAUGGCCAGGCUGUCUCCACCCGAGACUCAGUGAAAUUGAACUCGCUGUGAAGAUGCAGUGUACCCGCGGCAAGACGGAAAGACCCCGUGAACCUUUACUAUAGCUUGACACUGAACAUUGAGCCUUGAUGUGUAGGAUAGGUGGGAGGCUUGGAAGUGUGGACGCCAGUCUGCAUGGAGCCGACCUUGAAAUACCACCCUUUAAUGUUUGAUGUUCUAACGUUGACCCGUAAUCCGGGUUGCGGACAGUGUCUGGUGGGUAGUUUGACUGGGGCGGUCUCCUCCUAAAGAGUAACGGAGGAGCACGAAGGUUGGCUAAUCCUGGUCGGACAUCAGGAGGUUAGUGCAAUGGCAUAAGCCAGCUUGACUGCGAGCGUGACGGCGCGAGCAGGUGCGAAAGCAGGUCAUAGUGAUCCGGUGGUUCUGAAUGGAAGGGCCAUCGCUCAACGGAUAAAAGGUACUCCGGGGAUAACAGGCUGAUACCGCCCAAGAGUUCAUAUCGACGGCGGUGUUUGGCACCUCGAUGUCGGCUCAUCACAUCCUGGGGCUGAAGUAGGUCCCAAGGGUAUGGCUGUUCGCCAUUUAAAGUGGUACGCGAGCUGGGUUUAGAACGUCGUGAGACAGUUCGGUCCCUAUCUGCCGUGGGCGCUGGAGAACUGAGGGGGGCUGCUCCUAGUACGAGAGGACCGGAGUGGACGCAUCACUGGUGUUCGGGUUGUCAUGCCAAUGGCACUGCCCGGUAGCUAAAUGCGGAAGAGAUAAGUGCUGAAAGCAUCUAAGCACGAAACUUGCCCCGAGAUGAGUUCUCCCUGACUCCUUGAGAGUCCUGAAGGAACGUUGAAGACGACGACGUUGAUAGGCCGGGUGUGUAAGCGCAGCGAUGCGUUGAGCUAACCGGUACUAAUGAACCGUGAGGCUUAACCUU